UCAUAUUCUGUGCAAAUAACACAUAUUGCUUUUAUAAUAUUUAAAGUUCACAACACAAUAAUAUAAAAUAUAUGUACUCAUUUCUUAAUGGGCAUCUUGUUUUAAAGUAAGAAAAAGCACCAACUAUUUCAUAUAGAGAGCAAAAUUAGGAUCUUUUGCCAUAAACUUCUAGGCUCAAAAGUGCAGGGCCUCCAUCUUGGGGCUGAAGGGAUCUUUCUCUUCCACUUCUUCAAACUCCGACUUGUAUAAUUCAUGGAGAAAUUUCUUAAACAGUUGAAGGCACUCGAGUGUGAACAUUACUACAGUUAAAUGAAACACGUCCCUAUGGAAACAUCGAUCAAUCAAAUUCCUAACGAAGGUAAUCAAUUCAUCCCACCAAUUCUCCACUCUCUGGUUCAAUAUUCUCCUACUAGUGUCACUCUUCUCAAAUGAAACAUUAUUCAGAGCUAAACACACUUAACAAGUGAACAAGUACUAUUUCAUUGUGAUGGCA
Molecule: long non-coding RNA, 493 nt
Filed under: Olea europaea (common olive)
Lineage: Eukaryota; Viridiplantae; Streptophyta; Magnoliopsida; Lamiales; Oleaceae
Description: long non-coding RNA (OEUR_LNC013071)
Source: RNAcentral